This 750-nucleotide ribosomal RNA is filed under the name uncultured bacterium. RNAcentral's name for it is "bacterial SSU rRNA". It matches the Rfam family "Bacterial small subunit ribosomal RNA", at positions 28 to 776 of the family's 1533-position model. The record is from RNAcentral.
AUUGAACGCUGGCGGCAGGCUUAACACAUGCAAGUCGAACGAUGAAGAUAUAGCUUGCUAUAUUGGAUUAGUGGCGGACGGGUGAGUAACACUUAGGAAUCUACCUUUUAGCGGGGGAUAGCUCGCGGAAACUCGAAUUAAUACCGCAUAAUUUCUACGGAAUAAAGAGGGCUUUUAGCUCUCACUAGAAGAUGAGCCUAAGUAAGAUUAGCUAGUUGGUGGGGUAAAAGCCUACCAAGGCGACGAUCUUUAGCUGGUCUGAGAGGAUGAUCAGCCACACUGGGACUGAGACACGGCCCAGACUCCUACGGGAGGCAGCAGUGGGGAAUAUUGGACAAUGGGGGCAACCCUGAUCCAGCCAUGCCGCGUGUGUGAAGAAGGCCUUUUGGUUGUAAAGCACUUUAAGCAGUGAAGAAGACCUAUUGGUUAAUACCCAAUAGCGAUGACAUUAACUGCAGAAUAAGCACCGGCUAACUCUGUGCCAGCAGCCGCGGUAAUACAGAGGGUGCAAGCGUUAAUCGGAAUUACUGGGCGUAAAGCGAGCGUAGGUGGUUAAAUAAGUCAGAUGUGAAAGCCCUGGGCUCAACCUAGGAACGGCAUCUGAAACUAUUUAACUAGAGUAGGCGAGAGGGAAGUAGAAUUUCAGGUGUAGCGGUGAAAUGCGUAGAGAUCUGAAGGAAUACCGAUGGCGAAGGCAGCUUCCUGGCAUCAUACUGACACUGAGGCUCGAAAGCGUGGGUAGCAAACAGG